CGGAAUUCCACAAGUAGCGGUGAAAUGCGUAGAUAUGUGGAAGAACACCGGUGGCGAAGGCGGUUUUCUAUCUUAUUCCUGACGCUGAUGCGCGAAAGCAAGGGGAUCAAACAGGAUUAGAUACCCUGGUAGUCCUUGCUGUAAACGAUGUAUACUUGGUGUAACUGGACUCAACCCUAGUUGUGCCGGAGCUAACGCGUUAAGUAUACCGCCUGAGGAGUACAGUCGCAAGGCUGAAACUCAAAAGAAUUGACGGGGACCCGCACAAGCAGUGGAGCAUGUGGUUUAAUUCGAUGCAACGCGAAGAACCUUACCCAGGCUUGACGUGCAGUAGACCGAUCCAGAAAUGGGUCUUUCCUUCGGGACUGCUGCACAGGUGCUGCAUGGCUGUCGUCAGCUCGCGCCGUGAGGUGUAGGGUUAAGUCCCGCAACGAGCGCAACCCUUAUCAUUAGUUGCCAACAUUUAAGGUGGGAACUCUAAUGAGACUGCCUGGGUUAACCAGGAGGAAGGUGAGGAUGGCGUCAAGUCCGCAUGGCCCUUAUGUCUGGGGCUACACACGUGCUACAAUGGUCGGUACAGAGGGCAGCAAACCCGUGAGGCGAAGCAAAUCCCCCAAAGCCGAUCCCAGUUCAGAUUGUAGU
This 642-nucleotide ribosomal RNA is filed under the name uncultured bacterium. Its description in RNAcentral is "bacterial SSU rRNA". It matches the Rfam family "Bacterial small subunit ribosomal RNA", at positions 662 to 1304 of the family's 1533-position model. The record is from RNAcentral.